RNAcentral lists this ribosomal RNA (158 nucleotides) under Anungitiomyces stellenboschiensis. Its description in RNAcentral is "5.8S ribosomal RNA". It matches the Rfam family "5.8S ribosomal RNA". Rfam says of the family: 5.8S ribosomal RNA (5.8S rRNA) is a component of the large subunit of the eukaryotic ribosome. It is transcribed by RNA polymerase I as part of the 45S precursor that also contains 18S and 28S rRNA. The record is from RNAcentral. Lineage: Eukaryota; Fungi; Ascomycota; Sordariomycetes; Xylariales; Anungitiomycetaceae.
AAACUUUCAACAACGGAUCUCUUGGUUCUGGCAUCGAUGAAGAACGCAGCGAAAUGCGAUAAGUAAUGUGAAUUGCAGAAUUCAGUGAAUCAUCGAAUCUUUGAACGCACAUUGCGCCCGUUAGUAUUCUAGCGGGCAUGCCUGUUCGAGCGUCAUUA